GACGAACCGUACGAACGUUAUUCGGAAUUACUGGGCUUAAAGGGUUUGUAGGCGGCCUUGUAAGUCAGGUGUGAAAUCCCUCGGCUCAACCGAGGAAUGGCGCUUGAUACUGCAAGGCUUGAGGGAGACAGGGGUAAGCGGAACUGAUGGUGGAGCGGUGAAAUGCGUUGAUAUCAUCAGGAAUACCGGUGGCGAAAGCGGCUUACUGGGUCUCUUCUGACGCUGAGGAACGAAAGCUAGGGUAGCGAACGGG
Molecule: ribosomal RNA, 253 nt
Filed under: uncultured bacterium
Lineage: Bacteria
Description: partial 16S ribosomal RNA
Rfam family: Bacterial small subunit ribosomal RNA
Source: RNAcentral